This is a long non-coding RNA of Xiphophorus couchianus (Monterrey platyfish), 411 nucleotides long. RefSeq lists it as uncharacterized. The record is from RefSeq and is a predicted model, not a curated record. The transcript is spliced from 2 exons. Lineage: Eukaryota; Metazoa; Chordata; Actinopteri; Cyprinodontiformes; Poeciliidae.
UGAAGAAGAAGAAGGAUGAGGAAGCGGAACGAAAGAAAAUGGCGCAUGGUCUGUUUGGUUGAAUGUUCGACUGUUUCUCUAAACGAGUUUAUCAACGAGCCGUUAACUGCUGCUGAAGAAACAUUCACAGAGUUUAAAGAAAUCAUCGUCAAGUCGGAGGAAGAGAUGGAUGAUCAUCGCAGACUGCUGGAUUUCUCCCGGAGGCCCCAGAUAAUCUUACACCGAAUAGGUUUCAUAAAGACCAUGUGAGGAAGAAGUGGGGAAUGUCUUUAAGGAGAGACGGAUUCACUGCACUGAUGAAUCUCAGCUGCUGAAUCUCUCUUAAGCCUUUGAUGCAAAACAUGGGUCAAAAGUGACCCGGCUGAGUUUUUAUCUUCUUUAUCUUUGCAAUAAAUUAAUUUCAUCAUUCAG